Molecule: unclassified non-coding RNA, 484 nt
Filed under: Hevea brasiliensis (rubber tree)
Lineage: Eukaryota; Viridiplantae; Streptophyta; Magnoliopsida; Malpighiales; Euphorbiaceae
Source: RNAcentral
UAUUCAGGUGCCAAAUAACCUCUACACAAAUCAAAAUAAUGACAUCACUUAAAUGAGUGAAAAAUAAAAUUUUGCAAAACUGAAAAGUAUUGUUGUUUAUUCCAGGGAUAACUGAUGAACUAUUCAAGUGAAACUUGUCAAAUAUAUAUUAAUACAAAGUACUUAUAUUGAAUUAAAUGUACUUUUUUCCUUUUAUUGAAAGAUAUAUCUUUCUCUUCUAUGUUAACUGCAACUAGGUCAUACUUACGCGGCGUAUUACAUAGCAUCUCUGUUAGUGAAAUAACAGUUCUCUUAACAGUGGAAUAGAAUUGGCAAAGAUUAAAAAGUUCAAGGUUUAAUUAGUAAUUUUCAUAGUAUGGGGUAGAAUUGCAAAUUUUGUAAAGCACGGGAUUUUUUUGGCACUUAUCCCUUUAUUCUAUCCCAAUCAAACAACAUAAGAUGUCAACAAGUAGUAACAUUAUCACAGUUUGAUAAGCCAGAUGAC